RNAcentral lists this unclassified non-coding RNA (392 nucleotides) under Hevea brasiliensis (rubber tree). The record is from RNAcentral. Lineage: Eukaryota; Viridiplantae; Streptophyta; Magnoliopsida; Malpighiales; Euphorbiaceae.
GUGAAUGGUUGAUUUAUUCUACAUGGUGGGUAGGGGACAAUUUUUCGUCAUUGAUGCAAUCUAUUGGGGCAAGUGAGAAGGUUUUUCAAUUAAUGGAUCUCGGUUCUAGAGAUAAAUUCAUUGACAAAGGAGCCAAGUUGGAAGGAUUAGCAGGACGCAUUGAAUUUGUGAAUAUUAGUUUCUACUAUCCUUCAAGAGUUGAGGUGCCAGUACUUCAACAUAUUAACUUUGUGGUGCAUCCCGGUGAAGUAGUAGCACUCGUCAAAUGUUGCUACAUAAAAUGGGUCGGAGGCAGUAUUAUAGGAGAACUCACACAAAGGUUGGCCUAAGUGGUAGUGGAAAAAGCACUCUGGUGAACCUUCUCCUUCGGCUGUAUGAGCCAAUAAGUGGGC